UGCUGACGAGUGGCGCACGGGUGCGUAACGCGUAUACAAUCUACCUUUUGCUGAGGGAUAGCCCAGAGAAAUUUGGAUUAAUACCUCAUAGUAUUAUUGAGUGGCAUCAUUUAAUAAUUAAAGGUUACGGCAAAAGAUGAGUAUGCGUACCAUUAGUUUGUUGGUAAGGUAACGGCUUACCAAGACUACGAUGGUUAGGGGUCCUGAGAGGGAGAUCCCCCACACUGGUACUGAGACACGGACCAGACUCC
RNAcentral lists this ribosomal RNA (251 nucleotides) under uncultured Flavobacteriaceae bacterium. RNAcentral describes it as "partial 16S ribosomal RNA". It matches the Rfam family "Bacterial small subunit ribosomal RNA", at positions 86 to 339 of the family's 1533-position model. The record is from RNAcentral. Lineage: Bacteria; Pseudomonadati; Bacteroidota; Flavobacteriia; Flavobacteriales; Flavobacteriaceae.